GACUAAAUCCGGUAUCGGAGGAGCAAGUUAUGGGAUUUCUACCAAACUACACAAAGUUAAGAAAACUGUGAAAAGGACAGUUUUGGAGCAGUCACUUCCGGGUUAAAUUCCGGGAGCUAAACAUAUCCAAAUAUGGAUUGUGAUAUAUGAAAACUAUAGCUCGGAAAGAUACGAAUCCAACAAAAUUGACGGAUCAUUAAUCGGAGUUACAGAUUUCGUUUUAUUUAAGUUUUGGUGAAGGAG
RNAcentral lists this long non-coding RNA (243 nucleotides) under Panax ginseng (ginseng). RNAcentral describes it as "long non-coding RNA (PGIN_LNC003313)". The record is from RNAcentral. Lineage: Eukaryota; Viridiplantae; Streptophyta; Magnoliopsida; Apiales; Araliaceae.